Molecule: ribosomal RNA, 253 nt
Filed under: uncultured bacterium
Lineage: Bacteria
Description: partial 16S ribosomal RNA
Rfam family: Bacterial small subunit ribosomal RNA
Source: RNAcentral
UACGUAGGGGGCUAGCGUUGUCCGGAAUCAUUGGGCGUAAAGCGCACGUAGGCGGCUUCUUAAGUCAGGGGUGAAAUCCUGGAGCUCAACUCCAGAACUGCCUUUGAUACUGAGGAGCUCGAGUCCGGGAGAGGUGAGUGGAACUGCGAGUGUAGAGGUGAAAUUCGUAGAUAUUCGCAAGAACACCAGUGGCGAAGGCGGCUCACUGGCCCGGUACUGACGCUGAGGUGCGAAAGCGUGGGGAGCAAACAGG